AGUGGCGAACGGGUGAGUAAAGUAUCGGAACGUGCCCAGUCGUGGGGGAUAACGUAGCGAAAGUUACGCUAAUACCGCAUACGAUCUAUGGAUGAAAGCGGGGGAUCGCAAGACCUCGCGCGAUUGGAGCGGCCGAUAUCAGAUUAGGUAGUUGGUGGGGUAAAGGCUCACCAAGCCGACGAUCUGUAGCUGGUCUGAGAGGACGACCAGCCACACUGGGACUGAGACACGGCCCAGACUCCUACGGGAGGCAGCAGUGGGGAAUUUUGGACAAUGGGCGCAAGCCUGAUCCAGCCAUGCCGCGUGCAGGAUGAAGGCCUUCGGGUUGUAAACUGCUUUUGUACGGAACGAAAAGGUUUGGCCUAAUAAGCUGAGCUCAUGACGGUACCGUAAGAAUAAGCACCGGCUAACUACGUGCCAGCAGCCGCGGUAAUACGUAGGGUGCGAGCGUUAAUCGGAAUUACUGGGCGUAAAGCGUGCGCAGGCGGUUAUGUAAGACAGAUGUGAAAUCCCCGGGCUCAACCUGGGAACUGCAUUAGUGACUGCAUAGCUGGAGUACGGCAGAGGGGGGAUGGAAUUCCGCGUGUAGCAGUGAAAUGCGUAGAUAUGCGGAGGAACACCGAUGGCGAAGGCAAUCCCUCUGGGCCUGUACUGACGCUCAUGCACGAAAGCGUGGGG
Molecule: ribosomal RNA, 678 nt
Filed under: uncultured Curvibacter sp.
Lineage: Bacteria; Pseudomonadati; Pseudomonadota; Betaproteobacteria; Burkholderiales; Comamonadaceae
Description: bacterial SSU rRNA
Rfam family: Bacterial small subunit ribosomal RNA
Source: RNAcentral